AGAGGGAUAGCUGGGUCAAAUGGUAGCUCCAUUUCCAAUUUUCCAAGAAAUCUCCAUACUGCUUUCCAUAUUGGCUACACCAUUUUGCAGUCCCACAGCAGU
This 102-nucleotide microRNA precursor is filed under the name Marmota monax (woodchuck). The record is from RNAcentral. Lineage: Eukaryota; Metazoa; Chordata; Mammalia; Rodentia; Sciuridae.